This 301-nucleotide ribosomal RNA is filed under the name uncultured bacterium. Its description in RNAcentral is "partial 16S ribosomal RNA". It matches the Rfam family "Bacterial small subunit ribosomal RNA", at positions 509 to 807 of the family's 1533-position model. The record is from RNAcentral.
CAGCAGCCGCGGGAAUACGAAGGGUGCAAGCGUUACUCGGAAUUACUGGGCGUAAAGCGUGCGUAGGUGGUGGUUUAAGUCCGUUGUGAAAGCCCCGGGCUCAACCUGGGAAUUGCAGUGGAUACUGGGUCACUAGAGUGUGGUAGAGGAUAGUGGAAUUUCCGGUGUAGCGGUGAAAUGCGUAGAGAUCGGGAGGAACAUCAGUGGCGAAGGCGGCCAUCUGGGACAACACUGACGCUGAGGCACGAAAGCGUGGGGAGCAAACAGGAUUAGAUACCCCGGUAGUCCCUGUCUCUUAUAC